AUGAAGUAUGGUGCUCUGAGAUUGUCGAUGCCACAUGUCACUCAUCCGAUAGGGUCUCACAAGUUGGUCUAUGAGGCCCGGUCUCAUACAAUUUUUUCCCACAACGACGGCCGCUACGUGGUCCACGGCCUCCACGGCUUCCUGCGCCCGCUCACGCACUCCUGCUUCGACGGCCCGCACCACCACCACCUCACCGGCCGCUCCGCCGCAGCCUCCGCGGCCACCGCCACCUCCGUGGUGCGCAUCAUGAUCCGCGACGCCAUGGCGCGACUCCGCGACGGGGGCUACGGGUUCAUGGCGCUGGCCAUGCGCGUCAAGUCAAGGUUUUGGUUACCGAAUGAGGCAUUUUUACCGAGGUUCGCCGAGCUCGAGAAGUUCGCCAACCUGACGCUCUACGCGCUCGACGACCCGGCCAUCUUCGUCGGCGGAGGCCACGACUACGUCUCGGCGGUGCGCUUCCACAUCGUCCCCAACCACCGCCUCACGCGCGCCGACCUCCACCGCCUCCGCCCCGGCACGGUCCUCCCCACGCUGGCCGGCGAGGGCCAGAGCCUCGUCGUCACCCACUACGCCAACGAUGACGUCCGCAUCAACUACAUACCCAUAAAGGAGCCCGACGUGGUGGUCAACUCGCGCAUCGCCGUCCACGGCGUCUACGUGCCGUUCCCCCGCCUCCACCUCGCCGACCUCGCCGCCGACCAGACGAACGGCACCUGCGGCGUCGGGGGGCCCUUCGGCGACUGCGCCUCCUCAGCGAUCACCUCUCCCGGCGAGUGA
RNAcentral lists this ribosomal RNA (777 nucleotides) under Triticum aestivum (bread wheat). RNAcentral describes it as "partial small subunit ribosomal RNA". Lineage: Eukaryota; Viridiplantae; Streptophyta; Magnoliopsida; Poales; Poaceae. The record is from RNAcentral.